AUGGGGCUGCGGCCGGGCUAGGGCUCGGCGAUGUCGGGUUUCGCGCGGCGGCCGGGCGCGACCCCACUAUCGCGGACGCGAAGCCUCGUGGUUCCCGACGCUCCUGCGUUCUAUGAGCGCCGGUCUUGUCUCCCCCAGCUAGACUGUGAGCGCUCCCAUGGCGGGGACCUGCACCCCCAUCUCUUCGGCUUUCGGCCGACGUUUAUGUGCUAUGUGCCCAGCCCGGUGCUGGCUUCCGUAGGAGACACAGAUUUUGGCUAUGGAAAGGAGAAAUGUACUAAGCAAGGUCCGUCGGGAGCCCAUGAGACACGCUUUGGAGGUGACAAACUUGAAGACCUUGAAGAAGCCAAUCCAUUCUCCUUCAAAGAGUUUCUGAAAACCAAGAACCUCAGCCUGUCAAAAGAAGACACAACCAACAGUCGGAUUUACCCGAAGGAAGCUUCAAGGCACCCACUGGGAUUAGACCACAGCUCCCCUGCCUCCCAGCCAGUGGGGUAUGGCCUGGAAUAUCAGCAGCCAUUUUUUGAAGACCCAACAAGAGCCAGCAACCUAGAGGAGGAGGAAGAAGAAGAUGGAUGGAAUAGAGCCUAUCUGCCGUCCGCUGUGGAACAGACUCAUUCCUCUAGAGCCACGGAGACUACAUCACCCUGUGGCACCUACCUUUCUUUUUUUUCCAACACAUCAGAGCUGGCAGGUCCUGAGUCUUUGCCUCCAUGGACGCUGAGUGACACUGACUCAAGGGUCUCCCCAGCAUCUCCCGCUGGGAAUCCCAAUGUAGACUUUGCAGCUCACGAAGAGUCCUUGGGGGACAGACACCUGCGGACACUGCAGAUAAGUUAUGAAGCACUGAAAGAUGAAAAUUCUAAGCUCAGAAGAAAGCUAAAUGAGGUUCAGAGCGUCUCUGAAACUCAAACAGAAAUGCCUAGAAAACUCAACUCAGUGUUUCCUUUACUGAGGGUGAGGACGCUCGAGCGGAAGUUGGAAGAGAAGAUGAUCAAGGAGGAGAGUGACUUCCACAACCUGGAGUCAGUGAUCCAGCAAGUUGAACAGAACCUCGAACUGAUGACCGUACGGAGGGAAGCGGGCUGUGAAAGCAGAAAAUCAUGUCAUGAAGCUGAAACAGGAAGUAAGUUUGCUCCAGGCACAGCUCUCCAACUUCAAGCGAGAAAAUGAAGCCCUGCGGUCGGGUCAGGGCGCCAGCCUUACAGUGGUGAAGCAGAACACCGACGUGGCCUUGCAGAACCUCCAUGUUGUCAUGAACAGUGCACAUGCAUCCAUAAAGCAGCUGGUGUCUGGAGCAGAGACACUGAACCUUGUUGCUGAAAUCCUUAAGUCUAUCGACAGAAUUACUGAAGUUAAGGAUGAGACGGACUCUUGAGAAGCACUGGCUGCCACCAGUUCCCACCACCUCUGCAUGGAUGUCACCUCCCAUCUUCCAAACGUGCUCUUAACUAUGCAGCCUUCACCAAAGCAUUUCACAGCCUCGGUGGCAUUGCUGGCCACCUGAGUACAGAGCUCCUUCCCACCAGCUGCACCGAACAGAUAUACGCAGUCGUUUGGGGAAAGUCACUGAUUUACUGGAAAACAAUUUUAUAAAAUCCAGCAAUUUUUAGAAAUCACUAAAGUUGAAACAGCACUUUUGUAAGAUGUUUGUUCCACUGUCCUCUCACAUUUAGCAGUAGGAUAAGCUCGGGCUUAGCCUCAACGUUAAGUUGAACACUAAGUUGAACCAAUGUGGAAGUGAGCCGCCUGCACAGGGAUUCACACUGUCCUGCAGUGCCCCACUAGCUGAUGGUUGACAUGUGCCCUUCACAGGGUGGCUCCUGCAGUCAGCAGCCUCACCUGAGGCAGCACCACUUGGUAGAUGCUGCUGUCCUCCCAGCAGGACCAUAGGACCAAGGUCACAGAUGUUCCAUGUUGCAAAGCUUUAUAAACUCACUGCUGUGAGCCGUCAGCUUUGGAAAGCCAUUUGGCACUGUCAGUUUUGAUGUAUGUUAGAUGUCGGUGUGCCUUUUGCACAGUGCAGUUCAUGGAGUUUAAUGUGCACACCCUGUG
This is an RNA transcript of Acomys russatus (golden spiny mouse), 2055 nucleotides long. It is a transcript of the gene named endosome associated trafficking regulator 1, with no coding region annotated. The transcript has 10 exons. NCBI's taxonomy places the organism in Eukaryota, Metazoa, Chordata, Mammalia, Rodentia, Muridae. The record is from RefSeq and is a predicted model, not a curated record.